GGGGGGGUGGGGGGGGUUCUGAUUCUCAGGUCAACUUUCCUCUUGUUUCAUCAAUUGAACACAUUUGAAUCAUAUUUUCUCUGAUUGGCAGGAGAGUAUUUGGUGACUGGGGAAGCAAGGGGGACAGUCACUGAAUACCACAUAAAAUGAGAAAGGCUCAAAUACCCACCAUUUGCUUCAAAGUGGAUGGAACUGGAAGGUAUUAUGCUGAGUGAAGUAGACUUUUUUUCCCCUGGCACCAGGGAAUAUGGCAUCAAAAGCCCUGUUGGCAAACCCAAGACAAAGAGGGAACUUUUUUCUCCACCGUCCAUACAGCAAACCUUGGAAAAGGAUCUGAUUGGCUGUGCCAGAGCCUUAUACCUAUCUCUAUAUUCAGAAGGGCAUGCUCUGUAAUAAUUUGCUCAGAUCAAAGGCAACACAUUUUGGGGGAUGAUAGUAGAGAAUGCUCAACAGACAAAAUAAAUAAACCUAACUCCACUACCAGUUAUAAA
Molecule: long non-coding RNA, 491 nt
Organism: Canis lupus familiaris (dog)
Lineage: Eukaryota; Metazoa; Chordata; Mammalia; Carnivora; Canidae
Exons: 2
Source: RefSeq, a predicted model, not a curated record